This 10229-nucleotide long non-coding RNA is filed under the name Lynx pardinus (Iberian lynx). The record is from RNAcentral. Lineage: Eukaryota; Metazoa; Chordata; Mammalia; Carnivora; Felidae.
GAGAGGAAGACACAGACUCUGAAGCAGGCUCCAGGCUCUGAGCUCUCAGUACAGAGCCCCAUGCAGGGCUUGAACUCGUGAACCGUGAGAUCAGGACCUGAGCGUCCCAGGCAAAUACUUCUUUUUAAAAAAUAUACAUUAAUAUCAGGCGUCCCAGGCAAAUACUUCUUUUUAAAAAAUAUACAUUAAUAUCAACUGACCCAGUCACAUUUUUUGCAAAACUUGAUAAGCUGAUCCUAAAAUUGGUAUGGAAUUGAAGAGACGCAGAGUAUCCAAAACAAUCUUGAAAAAGAACAAAGUUGGAGGACUCGCACUUCCUCAUUUCAAGACUUACUACAAGCUACAGGAAUCAAAGCAGUGCGGUACUGACCUAGAUCCAUGGACUAGCGUUGAGUCCAAAAAUAAAUCCUUAUUUCUGUGGUCAGUUGAGUUUUGACAGUGGUGCCAAGGCCAUCCAAUGAGGUAAAGGAUAGUUUCUUCAGAUGAUUUUGGGACAACUAUCUGCAUGCAAAAGAAUGAAUUUGGACCCACAACUCAGACCAUAAACAAAACCAACUCAUUGUCAAAAUGGAUCAAAGACCUAAACAUAGGAACUAAAGCUACAAAACCAACUGAAACAGCUUGUAGUACAAAGGGAGAGGGACAAAAAAGGAAAAUUGGAAUACUAGAGAGAAAAAAUAGAAAUAAUAGUUCACUGCAAUCCUAAGAAAACAAAAAAAUGGAAGGGAAGAACGAAAACAAUAGACAAAUGAGAACAAUGGAAAGAAUGUGUUUAUGAGGUAGAGCAGAAGGGCUUGAGAGCUGAUUGUGGAGAACAGGCGGGAAGGCCAGCCAGACAGCAGUAAGCCCAGGACUGUGGGAGUAGCGGUCAUGAGCAGGAUCCCCAAAUAACCUUUCAUCGUUGCCCAGGAUGGCCCAACCUAGGGUGGAUGGCGAAGCAGUCUGCUCUUUGGCUUCUGGUCACUGUCGACUAACUGUAAGUCGGAUGUCCUCUAGGAUUUCAAGACUAUAUAAACAUUUCUAAUCCUCUCUUAGCAUACAUGUAGUUGUUUCAUGAGCCCAGUUAACAUCCUCUUCCUUUUCAGACCCAGAGCUGAAGUGUUAACAAUUAGUUUUACCGGUUCUUGUGGGCCUGUUUUGUACACAUGUAUCCAGCAGAUGGCGUUCAAGUCCUCAAGACUUCAGAUGACUCUAGAACAGCACUGCCUCAUAGAAAUAGGAUGAGAGCCCUCUGUCAUUUUCAGUUUUCUGGGACCCACAUUACAAAAGUGUAAUUAAUUUUAUUGUAUACUUUAUUUAGUAUAUCCGAAAUAUUUCAACACCAUAUUAAAAAAAUAUUGAAAUAUUUUACAUUUGUUUUCACACCAAGUGUUCAAAAUCAACUGCAAAUCCUCCCAUUGUACAUCUCAAUUCGGAUGCUAAGUUUUCAUCAGGAGUACUCGAUCUGUAUUUAUAUGUCAUAAAACAUACAGGAAAAAGUAGACUCACACAUCCACAUUGUUGCAAAAAGACAAACAUUUUUAAGUUUGCCAGUAACUGAAUCCAAUAUCAAGUCAUAAUACAAUUUUAGUUCUUAGUCAUACUAGCCACAUUUCAGAUGCUCAAAAGACACGUGUCUAGGGCUACUGUCUGUCCAGCACAGUACAACUCUACAUGAUCUGUUUUUAUACGCUUUAUGGUCUGACCACACCUACUCCUCCCAUUAGCAGCUAAAGGACUGAUAAACAUUUCUUCCAGGCAUACGUUAAGCAUUCAAGAUUGGGCAGUGUUUCACUUGAAGGCAAGGAGCAGUGAAAUCUGUCAGAAAACAUGACCACACCUUAUUCAUAUCUUUGUAGAGCUAAGCGGAAUGUUUUGGAUCAGAAAUUGCUUUGAAUUACUUGUUUUCAUUGUAAUCUUUCCUCCAGGCCUUUGUGUGUUUUGAUACAGUUCAUUUGAAUUGGCUAAAUAAAUCAUUUUGUUUGCUUGCAAAAUUCCCAAAGGAGAAACUUUAAAUCCAUAUACAUGAGAUUUCUGCUAUGUUUAGCCGUACAUUUGCCAAAGACUUGUGGGAUCAUUUAUUUCUUCUUAAAGCCAUAGUGCAGCCUGCAGGAUGGUUUUCAGCUAACCUUGUUGUGACAUAGAGACGAGGCGGUAGAAUUUAGAAUUUGGAGCAAGGGUGGGUACUGGUCUUUACAGUUAACCCAAAAUAGAUUAGCCACGCCGUAUGCGUGUAGUUUCUUUUUUAGCCUGUAAAUUGAACUAAGUCAGUUAUAUGCCAAGCAGUUCCUGUAAAAAACAACAUGGCUAAGGUAAGUGAUAAUGAUUGAAAAGAAUUUGUUGACCCACUGAAAACUGGGAGAGAGAAUGAAACUCCCCCGGCCCUCCCGCCCGUUCCUUGCCUUGGUGAGGCAUUUUGCUAGUGUAGGUUGUGAACGUCUAGUUUAAUGUUUAUAGUUUGGGGUCGGUGGGGAAGAGACUGAUGUGAUGGGUGUAGAUCAUUGUCUAGGAAAACUGGAAAAUUCAUGGAAUGAAACAAGGUGUUUUAGUGAAAACCUGCCAUUCAGGCCAAAUAUUGAUCUGUUACCCUGUUUCUUAAAUCCUGGGCUCCAUUUAUAUAUUCAUGCAUGGUAAAUGUAUGUUUGUUCAGUGACGGGAUUGGUCAGAAAUACUACUUCUUUUUCAUCCUUAAUUUAAAAAAUUUCUUUCUCCACAUUUCUAACUACCACGUUCUUCCUAAUUGUGAAAGCUCACCUGCUUGGUGGCAAUUUUGCCUGGUGAUAAGCAUCUUCCCUGGGGUACAUUGUAUUCUGUUCCUGUUUCUUUUUUUUUUUUUUUAGGUUUUUUUUAUUUUGGGAGAGAGAGUAUAUGUGUGUGCAAGUAGGGGAAGGGCAGAGAGAGAGAGGGAGAGAGAGAAUCCGAAGCAGGCUCCACACUGUCCGUGCAGAGCCCGAUGUAGGGCUCGAUCUCAGGAACCACAAAAUCAUGACCUGAGCUGAAGUGGGAUGCUUAAUUGUCUGAGCUACUCAGGCGCCCGCCCCUCUGUUUCUGUUUCUGAGAGUUAUCAGCAAUUAAGCUUCCUUGAACUUGAAUAUGAGGAGUAGUUUUAGAUACUCGACCCCUCAUUGCCCCUUCCCUGCCCCACACCUCUCUGCACGUGUUGUUCAGGGUUGUUUAUGAAAAACAGAAACACAAAAAUAGGUUCUGCUCAUAGCCGGUUCUCCCAGGUCACAAACAUGUCUGAGAAUGGCACUGCUGUUUUUGUAGGAGACCCAAGAUUUACUGUCUUCAGUAAUCAAUAGAUUUUUUUAAAUCAAGGUAUAAUUUACAUACAACAUAUUAGUUUCAUUGUACACCAUAAUGGUUUAAUAUUUGUAUGUAUCGUGAAGUGAUCACCAUAACAAGUCUAGGUAUCAUCCAUCACCACACUAGUUGCAGAAUUCUUUUUCUUGUGAUGAGAACUUCUGAAGUCUACUGUCUUAGCACCUUUCAAAUAUGUAAUCCAGUGUUAACUGUAGUCACCAUCCUGUACAUUACAUCCCAUGGCUUGCUUAUUUGAUAACUGGAACUUGGCAGUUUUUGACUCCCUUUAUCCGUUUCGUCCAUUCCAUCCUCUGCCUGUGGCAACCACCAAUCUGUUCUCUGUCCCUGUGAGCUUGGUUUUUGUUUUUGUUUUGUAUUUGUUUUAGAUUCCACAUGUAAGAGAUCACAGGGUACUUGCCUCUCUGACUUCUUUCACUUAGCGUAAUGCUCUCAGAGCCCACCCGCGUUGUGGCAUAUGGCAAGAUUUCCUUAUUUUUGUGGCUGAAUAAUACUCCACUGUGUAUAUAAAUCUUCUUUCUCCAUUCAUCCAUCGAUGGACACUUAGGUUGCUUCCAUAUCUUGGCUAUUGUAAAUAAUGCUGCAGUUAACACAUGACUGCGUAUAUCUUUUCCAGUUAGUGUUUUUGUUUUCUUUGGAUAAAUACCCAGAAGUGGAAUUCCUGGAUCCUGGAUCCUGGUAGUUCGAUUUUUAAUUUUUUGAGGAGCCUCCAUAUUGUUUUCCAUAGUGGCUGCACCUGUUUACAUUCCCACUGUGUACCAAGGUUCCAGUUUUUUCAAAUUCUCCCCAACACCUGUUAUUUUUUGUCUUUUUGAUAAUAGUUAUUCUCACAGGUGUGACGUGAUAUACCCCAUUGUGGUUUUGAUUUGCAUUUCCCUGAUGUUGAGCAUUUUUUCAUAAUUUGCAAAGAUCUUUACCUUAGGAAAGGCUUUUUGUCCCUGCUUCUAAUGACCUGCAUAAGUUUUAAGGUAUACGUAACCAAUGUAAACAUAACAUUAAAAAAAAAUUUUUAACAUGUUUGAAACUGAGCUGCUCAGAUAUUUUUAAUUGGUACCUGAUAGUUCAUCAGAUUCAUCUGCAUCAUUGUUAAACCCUUCCUCAGUUGUUGGCUGGGUGCAUUAUUUCAGUAUUAGGAAUGAAGUGGCUAUAGGCAUCUUUUUUGUUUGGCUCAGCCAGCAUUGGUCUUUAUUCCAGUAGCUUCUCUCCUUUUAAAUCAUCCCUUUGGGCAUUAUUUUCAGAAGUGAGAUUACUGGGUCAAAGGGACGAUCAUUUUUAUGUUCCUUGAUAGGUCUUGCCGGGAGACCAUCUUAAUAAGGGCCCUUGAUGUCGUGAUAAAUCUCCCUGGUGGAGGAUGCAGGUGGUUUGCAAGUGAAUUCUGCUCUAGGAUAAGCAGUAACCAUAAGGUUUCAGUCUCCUGUGUAAACCUUCCUCGGUGGCAGGUGGUUAAGCUUGAUCAUGUGUGCUGGCCCCCACUCUGCUUCCUCUCAGAUCACUUCUCUCUCCAGCUCAGCCCUUUCUUCUUCUCAUCUGCCUAGAGAAUUCAAGCAUCUGUCCAGAACAUGCUUUCUAUAUUGAAUAGCAGAGAGGACAGUGUCUGUUAAUUUUCCUAGUCCCAUCUCCACCUCUUUUGUGCACUGAGUGAGGGCUCAUUCUCAUGCCUGUCCUAGCCUAAAGCUGGGCUUGCUCACUGAUUGCAGGCACGCAGUUACAUCUGCACUGCUUUCUGUCUUUAACAAAGCAUUUCUGAUUAAAACUACAGAGAGCCAGAAACUAGAGAAAAUAGCAAAGAAAGCCAGGACCAGGUGACCUGAGAGGGCUAAGUUUACAGCUUUUUGUUUUAAGUAUACAGCUGUAUAAACUUCUAAAAGAUACAUUCUUGGGUCAGUGCCAAUAAUGGGAAGGAAGGAUGCCCUUUUUUCUUCUAAACCUACACCCGAUUCCUCACCCCCCACCCAGCUUCCUUCUGAUUACAUGCACUUGCUUUUCCCAAAGCCUGUUCAGAACUUUCCCACUUUUCACCCGUGUUCUGCUUGUGCUCAGCUUGCUGUGUCUGUAUUUUUCAAGUACCCUUCCGGGUGCACCAAGGACUAGAAAUCCCUUUGUCCUGUAGGCAGAAAUCAGGGUGCUGUGAUUUGGUUCCUCUCCUUGGCUAAUCUCUACAGCAGCUGGGCUUCUUACACUCCUUCCCACCACACUGCCAGCCCCUGGGAGGAGUACCCUAAAAUACAGACGCCACCUCUGCUGGCAGUCCUUCCAUGGUUUCCCAUCACCUGCAAGAUGAAGUCCAGGCUCAUCAUUUUACAGCUGGCCCCUUUCUGCCCCUCCCACGCACGGCCCCUCCCCACUCGACACUAACCCAUCACCCGCUCUACUUACUUCCAGUUCCCCAAACUUGCCAGGCAGUUUAGAGCCUCUGCCCUGAGCAAGUUCCCAUCACCUGGAAUGCUCUUCCUCACCUUGUUUCCUAGUCAGCUUGUCUCCGGAGCAGUUUCUGUCAUUUCCAUUGUGCAACCUUUUUGGACCGCUCCAAAUAAUUUCCGUUUGCUAUUUAACAUUCAUUGAGCACUUAACUGUAUGCUAGGAGUUGCGCCAACCCUGUACGUGCAUCACCGCACUUACUCCUCACAGUCCUGGGAGGUGGGGACUAGUGCCCUUGAGAAUAUCACACAGAUCCAAGUGCUGGGUUCAAGGUCACCUAGCCUAAGCUCUUCACUACCCAGUGGUAACUAUCUUCUCUGGGCUUCCGUUCUCCCUUGCAGAGAGCACUCUGACUUGUCAUUGUAGCUUUGUGUGCAUGCUUCUCCCCUCAGAUCUGUCCUCUGGGACAGAGCAGCCAGACAGUAAGUAAAUGGAAUGAAGAAGCCCCUGGGCCUGUGGUCAUCUUCUAUAUGCUUUAUAAACUUAUUGCAUGAUCCUUUCAUUUCUUUGUGGGAGGUGUUUCUUGAAACUUUGCUUAUGGCCACCCGCAUGGGUCUUUCAGGCUAUUCAUGGGACUUCGAUGCCACAAAUAGUUUUCAGUUGCUUAUAGCAGCACUGUAGUUAAUAAUAUGGACACUAUGAAAGAGAGAGAAGACACGGCCCCUGCUCUUCAUUUGCAGAGAUGAGAUUUGCCACAUGGGACACAAUUAGUGAUUAAAGACAAUACAUUUGAAUAUUUGAUUGCAUAACUUGCAAAUUCUUUGGCAUGACCUUCUUUGGCAAGGCCUUUGGUGAUCUGAUGCGAGACCACUUUUCCAACUUUGUCUACUAUUCUCCCACAGACCCCAAUCAUGCUGAUGUGUUUUGCAGUGCUCUGAGCCCACCAUGCUUUCGAUGCUUCUGUUCCCAUGUACAUAUUGUUCCUUUUGCCUAGAAUGCCUUCUCCUUCCCAUCUGCGUAGCAACCUCCGCUCAUCUUUUAUAACCAUCUUCAGUGCUGCUUCCAUUAGAUCCUUUUCUUUGGGUUUUCAUGGCCUGUGUAUAUUUUUUCUGUAGUGUGACCCUUAUCCUAUAGUCUAUGAGUCAAUUUUGUUCCAAGUCCGACCUGCCUGUUAAACAUUGAGCUAGUUGAGGGCAAGGCCCAUGUCUCAGUGAUGGAAAAAUGAAUGACCAAAUCAUAAAAAAUGUUUACAUAGAAAGGAGGGUGGGAUGGUGUUCCAACAUGGCUGGUUGUCAGUCAGGAAUCACACUUGACUGCAAGGGUAGAGAUCUGAAUAAAGUGGUUCAUUCUGCCCUGUGAAACCAGUUUAGAGGUCGGUGGCCGAUUGUUGGUGUGGGGGUGUCGCUGUGUCAUCAGGAGCCCAGGCUCCGGCGCUCUGCUCAGCCCCCUUUAAUGCGUGGCUUCCCUCUGCACUGCAAGGUAACCUCAUGGUUGCUUGAGCUACAGAGAGCUCAGCUACAGAGCUACAGAGAGGAGGAAAGAGAAGGGCUGUGAGGAAAGAGCAAGUCCAUGAAGGUAGCUUCCUGUAAAAACAUGUCUCAGGGUCCUACCCAGAAGCUCUGCUUUCAUUUCAGAGGCCAGAAUUUAGUCACAUGGGUAUGUCUAGCUGAAUUUUGAAGAGAUAAAUAUAUGGCAAUAAAUACAGGUAAGAAGAAAUUAUAAAUAUAAUAUUUAUGUUGAUUAUAUUAUACUUAAAUAUAAUGUAAAUAAAGUAAGUGUAUGGUAAUAGCAAAUUUUAAAUGACAUUUUUCUUUUAAAAAAACAGCUUUUAGGUGCAAAUGGACUCUUCUAUAAAGAAGAUAUAAAUUGGUCAAUAAACACACAAAAAGAUGCUCACCAUCAUUAGGCAUUAGGAAAAUGCUAAUCAGAAUCACAAUGAGAUGCCACUUCACACCCUCUAGAAUGGCUCUAGAAUCAAAAAGACAUAGUAACAAGUGUUCACAAGGACCUGGAUUAAUUACAAUCCUCCUACAUUGCUGGUGGGACUGUAAAGUGGUGUAGCCACUUUGGAAACCAGUCUGAUGGUCCAAAAUGUUAAACAUUGAGUUGCCAUAUGACCUGGCAAUUUCACUUCUAGAUAUACACCCAGGAGAGUGAAGACAUCCAUCCACGCAAAAACUUGUACACGAGUGUUUAUAGUAUUACUAUUCAUGAUAGCCCAAAGUAGAAGCAACCAAAAUGUCCGUCACAUAAUGAGUGGAUCAACAAAUUGUGGUCUAUCCAUAUAAUGGGAUAUUAUUCUGCCAUAAAAAUGAAUGACGUACUGACACAUUCUGUGACAUGGAUGAACCUUGAAAACAUGCUGACUGAAAGAAGACAGUCACAAAAGACAACAUAGUGUAUGAUUCCAUUUAUGUGGAAUGCCAAGAACAGGCAAAUCUAUAGACAGAAACUAGAUUAGUGGUUGCCUAGGAGUGAGGGGGAAUGGGGAGCGAUUGCUAAUGAAUGUCUCUUGGGGAUGAUGAAAAUGUUCUAAAAUUAGAUAGUGGUGUUCAUUGCACAACUUUGAAUAUACUAAAAACCACCAUACACUUUUAAAAGGGUGAAUUGUCUGGCGUGUGAAUUAUACCUCAAUAAAGUCGCUUUAAAAACCAGCUUUUAUCUGUUUGUAAGACUUAUCUUCAAAGUUAACUUCAAAAGAAAUGAACUGGUAGGGAGGGUGGGGAGAAGUUCCCCAAACCAGUUAACAUUUCAAGGACUGUAUUUGUCUUCUCUUCAUUUGAGUCUUAGCUUAAAAAAAAAAAAAAAAAAUCUGCCUUGCUUGGUCAGGGUCAGAUCCAUCUGGCUGGUUGCCCAGAUGAUGGAGAUUCUGAGAGGUUUCUUUGUUCUGCAGACUUCUCAUUUAAAAAAUGAACUAUUUUUUUCUGAGUCUCCAAAGCUGAGGAAUAGAGAUGCCAGGGGGUCAGCAAAUAGACAUAGGAAGCCACUUCUCUGUAAACCAGGAUGUCAUAAGGGUUUGCUCUAUGGAGCUCUUGUUCCUUGGGGAUUUUGUUGCUGAUAGAUGGGCAGAGGCAGCUCAAAGGCCGUGGGGAAAUCACAGUGUGCUUGGACAGCUUCUGUGCCAAGACUUUGCAUAUAGGCAACUCCUGCCUGAUUAGGAGCUCUGUCUCCCUAAGCCUCUGAUUCCUCAUCAGUGAAUUGGGAAAGUGAAUAAUCUCACCCCAGGGUGGUCGCACCAGAUCAUGGCCCUGAGCGUGCUCUGGUAUAUGCCGGUUGUAUACCCCACGGGUGACUUUGGGGUGGCUCCAGGGGGCAUGGUUUGAGAAAUGAAAGAGGGAAGAUUGGCAGGAGAAGAGACACCUUGGACAUCGUGAGGGAGUGGUUGUCAGGAUGGAAGGUAGAAGUGAUGAUUGGAAGGCUGUGGUGACAAGGAUUGCCAGAAGGCACUGGCCAGCAGUCCUUCCUCAGCCAGUGUUACUGGUGUGCUGGUUGGGGGCCACUGAAGUCAGACCACAGGGGCAGCUGGCCUGCAUGGCAUGGAAAAUGCUGGCAAAGGUGGUGGGGGAGGACCCUACCCCGUCUGCUCUAAGCUUCCCUUAGGUCAGCUUUUGUGACAUGUUCUGGAUUCUUCAGCAUCUUUUGCAGAGGCUCAUAUUCUCACAAAGCCCCUCUGGAAUUAAAAAGAAAUAAAUCAUCCUUUUUGUGUACCGCAAGAUUAAGAAGUGGACUUUACAUUUUUUGUCAAUGUAUUUUAGACUGAUACGCUACUAAAGAAUGUCCUUAUGGGGUUCAUUUUGAUUAGAUAAAUGAAACUUUCAGAUCUGAUUACAAAACCUCGAAGUCUAUCUGUGGAUUUUCCCAGCUAUUUUUGUGUUUAUCAAACUGUUCUUCACACUCCCUCUCUUCAAUUGCUGUUCUAUUUUUUUAAGUUGAUUUUUUUUUUCUUAGUAAUCUCUAUACUCAAUGAGCUUGAACUCGUGACCUCAAGAUCAAGAGUCACAUGCUCUUCUGACUGAGCCAGCCAGGCACUCCAACCAGUGGUCUAUUUUUGAUAUGUAUUGAGAAAAUACGAAUAAAACACAAUUUAGAAGUAAGAGUAACAACCACCAUAGCACCUAAUGGUGUUCAGAUGACCCAGACACAAAUAUGCUUCUUUGCUACCCCACACAUGUCUACUUGAUGAGCAUGCAGAGCCCUCAAGAAAUUCUAUUAAAGUGGGGAAAUAUUUAUUAUAGUUCAUUGAUUUUAAGGCAUUUCCCCCAUUUUAACAUCUCUUAAAUUGUGAUAUGUCUUAUAGUCAGUGGCAUCUUACAUUGAUUUUUUUUUCUUUCUUGUACAAUGGUGCAUCUUAUAAUCAAUUGCUUAAAACCUUGCUUUGAUGAAAUGUGGCCAAUAUUAGUCAUUGAAUUGAGAAAAUGUAUUCUCUGUCUGCCCUUGGAUGUACAUGUUGAAUGAUUGCAUGCCCACCCUUGCAUCACCACCAGGAACUUCCACAUCACCCCCUCCAGACAGCCAAUAAAGCAUCUUUUUGUUCUUUGCAGAUUUUUAUUACUAAAUUACAAGAAGAUCUC